RNAcentral lists this non-coding RNA (185 nucleotides) under Acholeplasma oculi. RNAcentral describes it as "T-box sequence". It matches the Rfam family "T-box leader". From Rfam's summary of the family: Uncharged tRNA acts as the effector for transcription antitermination of genes in the T-box leader family. The record is from RNAcentral. Lineage: Bacteria; Bacillati; Mycoplasmatota; Mollicutes; Acholeplasmatales; Acholeplasmataceae.
UUGGUAGCAAUGAUUAAGAGGAGUAGUUAAAAACAUUGUAAAGAGAGUCACUGGUUUGGUGUAAAGUGAUCAAUGUGAUAAUGAAGGCUAUCUUAGGAGCUAAAAGUACACUGGCUUUAACAGUAUAAAUGAGUGCACGAUUUUUCGUGAACUAAGGUGGUACCACGGAUAAUUCCGUCCUUAGA